Molecule: regulatory RNA element, 98 nt
Organism: Lachnoclostridium sp. An118
Lineage: Bacteria; Bacillati; Bacillota; Clostridia; Lachnospirales; Lachnospiraceae
Rfam family: SAM riboswitch aptamer (S box leader)
About the family: The SAM riboswitch is found upstream of a number of genes which code for proteins involved in methionine or cysteine biosynthesis in Gram-positive bacteria.
Source: Rfam
CUCUUAUUCAGAGCAGUGGAGGUACAAAGGACCUGUGAAGCUGCGGCAACCCCGGCGACGGAAGGUGCCAACCUGAGCGAGUGAUCGAACAAUAAGAG